UAAGGAAUAUUGGUCAAUGGAGGCAACUCUGAACCAGCCAUGCCGCGUGCAGGAAGACGGCCCUAUGGGUUGUAAACUGCUUUUAUACCGGAAUAAACCCUUUUACGUGUAAGAGGUUGAAUGUACGGUAAGAAUAAGGAUCGGCUAACUCCGUGCCAGCAGCCGCGGUAAUACGGAGGAUCCAAGCGUUAUCCGGAUUUAUUGGGUUUAAAGGGUGCGUAGGCGGCCUGUUAAGUCAGGGGUGAAAGACGGUGGCUCAACCAUCGCAGUGCCUUUGAUACUGGCGGGCUUGAAUGCAGCUGAAGUAGGCGGAAUGUGACAAGUAGCGGUGAAAUGCAUAGAGAUGUCACAGAACACCGAUUGCGAAGGCAGCUUACUAAAGUGCAAUUGACGCUCAGGCACGAAAGCGUGGGGAUCAAACAGGAUUAGAUACCCUGGUAGUCCACGCCCUAAACGAUGAACACUCGAUGUUGGCGAUACACGGUCAGCGUCUAAGCGAAAGCGUUAAGUGUUCCACCUGGGGAGUACGCCCGCAAGGGUG
Molecule: ribosomal RNA, 541 nt
Filed under: uncultured bacterium
Lineage: Bacteria
Description: bacterial SSU rRNA
Rfam family: Bacterial small subunit ribosomal RNA
Source: RNAcentral